This 253-nucleotide ribosomal RNA is filed under the name uncultured bacterium. Its description in RNAcentral is "partial 16S ribosomal RNA". It matches the Rfam family "Bacterial small subunit ribosomal RNA", at positions 524 to 776 of the family's 1533-position model. The record is from RNAcentral.
UACGGAGGGGACUAGCGUUGUUGGGGAAUACACGGCGUAAAGUGCACGUAGGCGGAUUUGUAAGUCAGGGGUGGAAUCCCGAGCCUCAACCUCGGAACUGCAUUUGAUACUGCAAAUCUCGAGUCCGGAAGAGGUGAGUGGAAUUCCUAGUGUAGAGGAGAAAUUCGUAGAUAUUAGGAAGAACACCAGAGGUGAAGGCGGCUCACUGGUCCGGUACUGACGCUGAGGGGCAUGAGCAUGGUGAGCAACCAGG